CACGUAGGCACCAAGCGUUGUCCGGAUUUAUUGGGCGUAAAGAGCUCGUAGGCGGUUCAGUAAGUCAGGUGUGAAAUCCCCAGGCUCAACCUGGGAACUGCAUCCGAUACUGGAUGGCUUGAAUUCGGGAGAGGGAUGCAGAAUUCCAGGUGUAGCGGUGAAAUGCGUAGAUAUCUGGAGGAAUACCGGUGGCGAAGGCGGCAUCCUGGACCGACAUUGACGCUGAGGAGCGAAAGCCAGGGGAGCAAACGGG
This 253-nucleotide ribosomal RNA is filed under the name uncultured bacterium. RNAcentral describes it as "partial 16S ribosomal RNA". It matches the Rfam family "Bacterial small subunit ribosomal RNA", at positions 524 to 776 of the family's 1533-position model. The record is from RNAcentral.